AUUGAACGCUGGCGGCGUGCUUAACACAUGCAAGUCGAUCGGGUAACAGGUGUAGCAAUACAUGCUGACGAGAGGCGGACGGGUGAGUAAUGCUUGGGAAUCUGCCUAUUAGUGGGGGACAACCCGGGGAAACGUCGGGCUAAUACCGCAUACGCUCUACGGAGGAAAGCCGGGGACCGCAAGGCCUGGCGCUAAUAGAUGAGCCCAAGUCGGAUUAGCUAGUUGGUAGGGUAACGGCCUACCAAGGCGACAAUCCGUAGCUGGUCUGAGAGGACGACCAGCCACACCGGAACUGAGACACGGUCCGGACUCCUACGGGAGGCAGCAGUGGGGAAUAUUGGACAAUGGGGGCAACCCUGAUCCAGCGACGCCGCGUGGGUGAAGAAGGCCUGCGGGUUGUAAAGCCCUUUCGGGUGGGGAAGAAAAGUCUCGACCUAAUACGUCGGGACCUUGACGUAACCCACUAAAGAAGCACCGGCUAACUCUGUGCCAGCAGCCGCAGUAAC
RNAcentral lists this ribosomal RNA (506 nucleotides) under uncultured bacterium. Its description in RNAcentral is "bacterial SSU rRNA". It matches the Rfam family "Bacterial small subunit ribosomal RNA", at positions 29 to 524 of the family's 1533-position model. The record is from RNAcentral.